AUUAAUGAGGAUUUGAUCCUGGUCCAGGAUGAACGCUGGCGGCGUGGAUAAGGCAUGCAAGUCGAACGGAAUAUUUUUUGAAGAAGUUGAGAUUAUAUCAAUGCAACGGAUGAAAAUAUUUAGUGGCGAACGGGUUAGUAACACCUUAGUACAUACCUCAAAGUCGGGGAUAGCCAUUCGAAAGAGUGAGUAAUACCCGAUGGUCUCGCAAGAGUAAAGUCGCAAGACGCUUUGAGAUUGGCUUAGGUCUGAUCAGCUAGUUGGUGAGGUAAUGGCUCACCAAGGCUAUGACCAGUAGGGGGAUUGAGAGAUUGUUCCCCAACGAGGAAACUGAGACACGGUUCCUACUCCUACGGGAGGCAGCAGUCGAGAAUAUUCGACAAUGGACGAAAGUCUGAUCGAGCGACGCCGCGUGGAGGAUGAAGGUCUUCGGAUUGUAAACUCCUUUUCUACAGCAAAAAGUUAUUGAUUACUGUAGGAAUAAGACGCUGCAAACUUCGUGCCAGCAGCCGCGGUAAUACGAAGGCGUCAAGCGUUAUCCGGAUUUAUUGGGUGUAAAGAGUGCGUAGGGGGUUUUGUGCGUCUGUUGUUAAAUGUCACCGCUCAACGGUGUCGCUGCAAUGGAAACGGCAGAACUAGAGGGGGCUAGAGGCUAAUAGAACACAUGGUGUAGGGGUGAAAUCCGUUGAUAUCAUGUGGAAUACCAAAGGCGAAGGCAUUUAGCUGGGGCCUUCCUGACCCUUAAGCACGAAAGCGUGGGGAGCAAAAAGGAUUAGAUACCCUUGUAGUCCACGCCCUAAACGAUGCAGAUUAGCUAUUUCGAGUAUCGACCCUCGGAGUGGCGUAGCUAACGCGUUAAAUCUGCCACCUGGGAAGUACGGCCGCAAGGCUAAAACUCAAAGGAAUAGACGGGGACUCGCACAAGCGGUGGAACAUGAGGUUCAAUUCGACGGUAAACGAAAAACCUUACCAGGGUUUGAAAUGCACUUGAAGACCAGCAGAAACGUUGGUCGUCUCUCAAGGACAAGUGCACAGGUGCUGCAUGGUUGUCGUCAGCUCGUGCUUUGAAGUGUUCCCUUAAGUGGGUUAACGAGCGCAACCCCUAUCCUGUGUUUUAUAUGUCACAGGAGACCGCCGUGUUUAACACGGAGGAAGGCAGGGAUGACGUCAAAUCCGCAUGGCCCUCUGAUACCCUGGGCUACACUCGUGUUACAAUGGCCGGUACAAUGGGCUGCCAAACCGCAAGGUGGAGCAAAUCCCAUCAAAACCGGCCCCAGUUCAGAUUGGAGGCUGCAACUCGCCUCCAUGAAGCCGGAAUCGCUAGUAAUCGUGGGUCAGCUAUACCACGGUGAAUACGUUCUCGAGUCCUGUACUCACAAGAAUCGCGCACAGCAGGUUAUGAAGCUAAGUCGUUCAAAUCGACUCCUCC
RNAcentral lists this ribosomal RNA (1429 nucleotides) under bacterium. Its description in RNAcentral is "bacterial SSU rRNA". It matches the Rfam family "Bacterial small subunit ribosomal RNA". The record is from RNAcentral.